RNAcentral lists this ribosomal RNA (578 nucleotides) under Kluyveromyces marxianus. RNAcentral describes it as "eukaryotic LSU rRNA". It matches the Rfam family "Eukaryotic large subunit ribosomal RNA", at positions 38 to 657 of the family's 3401-position model. Lineage: Eukaryota; Fungi; Ascomycota; Saccharomycetes; Saccharomycetales; Saccharomycetaceae. The record is from RNAcentral.
GCAUAUCAAUAAGCGGAGGAAAAGAAACCAACCGGGAUUGCCUUAGUAACGGCGAGUGAAGCGGCAAAAGCUCAAAUUUGAAAUCUGGCGUCUUCGACGUCCGAGUUGUAAUUUGAAGAAGGCGACUUUGUAGCUGGUCCUUGUCUAUGUUCCUUGGAACAGGACGUCAUAGAGGGUGAGAAUCCCGUGUGGCGAGGAUCCCAGUUAUUUGUAAAGUGCUUUCGACGAGUCGAGUUGUUUGGGAAUGCAGCUCUAAGUGGGUGGUAAAUUCCAUCUAAAGCUAAAUAUUGGCGAGAGACCGAUAGCGAACAAGUACAGUGAUGGAAAGAUGAAAAGAACUUUGAAAAGAGAGUGAAAAAGUACGUGAAAUUGUUGAAAGGGAAGGGCAUUUGAUCAGACAUGGCGUUUGCUUCGGCUUUCGCUGGGCCAGCAUCAGUUUUAGCGGUUGGAUAAAUCCUCGGGAAUGUGGCUCUGCUUCGGUAGAGUGUUAUAGCCCGUGGGAAUACAGCCAGCUGGGACUGAGGAUUGCGACUUUUGUCAAGGAUGCUGGCGUAAUGGUUAAAUGCCGCCCGUCUUGA